UACGGAGGGGGCAAGCGUUAUUCGGAAUUAUUGGGCGUAAAGGGCGCGUAGGCGGCUAGAUGUGUCAAAGGUGAAAUCCCUCGGCUCAACUGAGGAACUGCCUUUGAAACUGUCUGGCUUGAGGCCGGGAGAGGGUAGCGGAAUUCCCAGUGUAGCGGUGAAAUGCGUAGAUAUUGGGAGGAACACCAGUGGCGAAGGCGGCUACCUGGACCAUAACUGACGCUGAGGUGCGAAAGCGUGGGGAGCAAACAGG
RNAcentral lists this ribosomal RNA (253 nucleotides) under uncultured bacterium. RNAcentral describes it as "partial 16S ribosomal RNA". It matches the Rfam family "Bacterial small subunit ribosomal RNA", at positions 524 to 776 of the family's 1533-position model. The record is from RNAcentral.